RNAcentral lists this long non-coding RNA (220 nucleotides) under Actinidia chinensis (golden kiwifruit). Its description in RNAcentral is "long non-coding RNA (ACHI_LNC008909)". The record is from RNAcentral. Lineage: Eukaryota; Viridiplantae; Streptophyta; Magnoliopsida; Ericales; Actinidiaceae.
CAAAUUACAAAUUGCAAUUCAAAUGCAAUCUAUUAAGAAUAUCAGAUAAUAAUCACAAAAAAUGAAAGCCGCUGGGCGUGAUUAUGCAUUCAGAGAAAAUUGCAAUUUCAACCAACUCUACUUAGUUAAGCCUAUUGUAUGACAUGGCACCAAGAUCACAAGGCUCAAACAACAGCCUAAUCUGCAACAUACCUGCAAACAACAGCCUAAUCUACAACAU